CAGGCACUGCUUCAGGGGCUGCAGCAGAUGCUGCUUCAAGUGACGCACCAUGCACUCUGCCACUCGCCAGCCCAGACUCAUCCCACUUGAAGGAGGCUACAGAUAAAGGCGAUGAGAAAGACAGUGCAUCUCCAUGUAAUUUGAAGAAAAAGGAAAAGAAAACUAAGAAGGAAAAAAAGAAAGAAAGGAAAGAGAAGAAGGAAAAAAUCAAGAAAGCCAAGCAAGCAGCUGUCACAGAUGCUCCUCAAGUCAAGCAAGGCAACCCAAGGAAGGGCCUCCCCACAUCUGCUAUUCCAAAGCCUGUGAGACGCAAGGUCUCUCUGUUGCUGCCCCAUAGAAGAGACGUCCCACUGAUUCCGCCACAGCCCCCAGGACUAUAUUUCCGAAUCACUACAGAAGAUUUUGACUUAGAAAAGAAAACUGCCAUGCAGUGGAUCAACAAGGUCUUGAAGGAUGAUGGAGCUAAGGCCCGGCGUAAUUAAGUGAUCCAAGGAUGGCCCACAUGUCACUGGAUGCAUAAUACUGCUCUUUAAGCCUGAGCAACCAGUUUCUGUACUCUGUUCAUGUAGUAUAAUGUCACAUUCUAUUUAGAGCCAUUUUGAUACUUAAAUAAGAUUGUUACCCAGAAUGCUUGUUAUAUCAUCUGAUUUAUACUCGAGUGUGAUACAUUCUCUCUCUCUCUUGGUUUUUCGAGACAGGGUUUCUCUGUAUUGCUUUGGAGGUUGUCCUGGAACUUGCACUGUAGACGAGGCUGGCCUCAAACUCAGAGAGAUCCACCUGCCUCUGCCUCCCAAGGGCUGGGAUUAAAGACGUGCGACACCAACGCCCAGUGAUACAUUAUCUCUUAAUAUGAUUAUGUGCCCCCCCCGUUGGUCACAGCUAUGACCCACACAACCCCUUGGAAGCAAGUCUUCCCAAUUUCCCUUGCUCAUCCUGAGGAUGGUCAUUUGUUGCUGAGGGUUCUGACUCAGAAUGUUCUUUGACCCUUCAUGCCUCAGGAC
This 1001-nucleotide long non-coding RNA is filed under the name Cricetulus griseus (Chinese hamster). RNAcentral's name for it is "lncRNA (ENSCGRG00015037463.1)". Lineage: Eukaryota; Metazoa; Chordata; Mammalia; Rodentia; Cricetidae. The record is from RNAcentral.